Small nuclear RNA from Meriones unguiculatus (Mongolian gerbil), 107 nucleotides. Lineage: Eukaryota; Metazoa; Chordata; Mammalia; Rodentia; Muridae. The record is from Ensembl.
AUGCUCACUUCAGCAGCACAUAUACUAAAAUUGGGACAGUAUAGAGAAUGUCAGCAUAGCCCCUGCACCAGGAUGACAUGCAAAUUAAUGAAGCAUUCCAUAUUUAA